UCUGUUUUUUUCUCUUUUGGGUUUUUCUUUUUGUUGUUUUGUUCUUUUUUUUGCUUUUUUAAAAAAAAGGAGGGUCCAAAGGCUUCUUUUUGCGGGGAAGAGGAGCUGCGAGGACGGGCUGAUAGCGGGAGCUUGGCGGCGAGAGAGGAGAAGCCCCCUGAAACGCACGCCACCUAUCUUCACGGGAGGGGAUAAUUGAGGAGAGCCAAACGUGAGCAUCUUUCUGGGCUCAAGUUCCCCCCCCCCUCCCCCCAUUCUCCCUCUCUCUCUCUCUCUACCCUCCCUCCCUCUCUCUCUUCUUCUUCGUCUUCUGUUUUUUUCCCUUUUUUCUUCUUCUUAUUUUUUUUGGAGAGUGAAACCAACUAUGUCGGGCUUCGACACGGAGUAAGAACCAGGCGACAGAUGAUGUCGUAGGAGGAAGACAAGGAACCUGAGCAUGAGGAGGACCAGCGAAGCUGCUUCGCCCCACCAUAGCUGUUGCUGCUCGGGGUCCAGAGUGGUUCUGGUUCUGGGUGAAUUGUUGUCACGCGUAAUUUGCUACCACCGUGUAAACCAAGCAGUCACGCCAUAA
This is a long non-coding RNA of Oreochromis aureus, 571 nucleotides long. RefSeq lists it as uncharacterized. NCBI's taxonomy places the organism in Eukaryota, Metazoa, Chordata, Actinopteri, Cichliformes, Cichlidae. The record is from RefSeq and is a predicted model, not a curated record. The transcript is spliced from 3 exons.